UUAUUAUAUGUAUAUGUUUGUGUAUAAUAUAAGAAACUACUACUGGAUACAUCGCAAUUGCAAUCACUCACUUAAUUGGCAAUUAUGCUGUCAAUAGAUAAUAGUAUUUAUUUGAAAAUAGGCCAAAAUAUUUCCCCGUAAUGUUAUUCUAUUCAUUUUAGUAGGAUUUUUUCACUAUAAAAUAAUAAAUUAAGUUUAUUUCCCAAAUUAACAAAAGUGUUAAUGUUUCUGUUUACAUUGUACAAGCUAUUUUAUGCUUCUUUUUCUCAACUCAAAAGAAUUACGUCACAAGAUGACGGUUGGGGUAAUUUUGUAUACUAUAAUUCUUGCGGAAAACCAGCAGAAACUAGCAAAAGAAUAUCAAAAUGUUUUUUACAAUCACUUCAUAUCAACACUUGAAAAUCAAUCAAUAGAAUUUUUAUUUUCACAAUUCAAAACAAUGAAAAUAAACAAAAUCAAAGCAAUUGCGUUAAAUAUUGCUUGUACAUACAUAUACACAUAUGCUUUAACAGCUGUUUCUUCAUAUGGCCGUAGAUAUUUUCUGCUAGUAGAAAUUUCACUUUCAUUUUCUGGUGCUCUCUUCUGCUAGUGCCUCCUAGUAUUUUGGUCCAGUAGAAACUUUGUUAGCUUCUAUUUUUCAAGUAUUACUGAAAACACAAAAUAUUCUAUUGAAUCCCACAUAUUACAUUACAUAGGAUAUGUACAUAUACAUAUGUAUGUAUGUAUGUAUUUCCUUACCUUAAGGCCCUUACCUUCCGUAUACCUUCUAAACCGAAUUAAACGAUUGAAUAUAAGUAUCGCCUUUCAAGUUAAUUUCAUGAGUAUGUAAAUAUUAGUGUAUUAUUAGAAAUGUCAUCAGUUCACAUCUUUGUAAAGCCUUCAUUUAUCAAAUAUACCACUUUCUGCCACCUGAUUUUGUACGCUAGGUUUUAUAUGUACGCACAUAAAUUCAAUUAUCAAAGCAAACGUUUUUUCUACCUUUAACAACAAAUAAGUUCUUGUUUAUAUUUUUUUUCACAGUCAUAAUAUUAAGGUACUUCUGGCCGAGGACUAGCUUAUGGCGAAUAUGAAGUUUGAAGAAAUAUAUCCAUUCGGCUUAAAUUGCACACAAAUAUGUUAAACAAAUGUUAAUUAACUUAGAGUAUGAAAUACAAUGCUUUAUAAUUUUUUUCAGAUACACAUCUCAUAACUUUUUUUAUCUUUUAUGCCAGUUAGUAAGCGUCUAAUAACUUUGAUGUUCCCUGGCAGGUUAGGUUGGUGAUAGUGUGAUGUUUAGAUGUUUAGAUGUUUAAUAAAAAAACAGUAUUUUGAUGCCUUUGUAUUUAUUGGAAAUAUAUUUUUAACAUUAUUAAUAAAAGUUUAAGUUUUUAAAGAAAUAGAUGUAUCAUUAUUGGAUAAGUUCAUACAUACAUACAUAUCUUCACAUAAGUGUAGAUUUCAUGUAAAUUGAACAAACAAUUACUAUAAAAAUUUUAAAUACAAUAUUGCUCGAUUUUAUUUAAGUGUUAAGGUUUGUUGUUAAUCUUUUGGAUAUCAUAAAGUUUUUUAUCUGGUCUGGGUUUAUACUGUUAUGCUUAGUUGCUUAUAAUUAAUUGGAGUUUUUCUUCUUACAGUGAAUUUGGUUGAAAUGUGUUUACAUUUGCACAUACAUAUGUACACAUGUACGUAUGUACAAUAUGUAUGAGUAUUGCAGCGUAGUUAAAGAUAGGAAGAGCAUAUGUGUGGGGUGUAAGUCUAAUAAUUUUUUGACUAGUUGACAGUAAUUUUUUGACAAUAUAAUGAUUUGUGUACCUCUGGUUGACUUAUGAGAUGUUUUAAUAUUGCAUAUACAUACAUGUGUUUUUAACGAAUUAAUCUACAAUAUUAUAAAUAUUUUAUUAUAUGUGUUUACAUAUGCUCAUAUGUUAAAAGAGGCUGGCUUUGGAAAGAAAAUAUGUUCUAAGACCUGGACCGGAUAUUAAUUGGCAAGCUCAUCCACUAACUGCACAACAGGCAUGAAAACAAUGUGUGUAAGCAAAAAAUCGUCCAAAAAGGGAUCCAAACCGCUCACUUGAUUUCCGAGACGUGUUUCCAGUAAAUGUUCUAACAUCUUUGAUGGUGUUCCCGACAUGACCGUAUACCUGUUUAAAGUAAUCAUAGGUGUUAAGUGAUACAAUACCUUUUUACUAUUAUAGUCAAUUUAUUGUUAACGAUACAACUGUGGCGGCGGUACUUUGAUCACUAUUCGAAAGGAAGUGGGUCAUAUAUAAAAGACAUUUUUUCUGGCAUGACUAACAUUUUCUAUACGUUUCUGAGGACAGAGCUAAUUGACGAAUACCAGACGAUUCAAUUUAUUUUAAGCUCACAGCCAUAAGGGUAUAGCUGGGAGCGAUGGCGACUUUUUAGGACACCACAGAUAAACAUCAUGCAUAUUAACGAGUGGUAGAAAUGGUGUCAAAUGCAUUAAGCGAAUUUGAAGAAGUACUUGGAACUAGUACAAUUAACUUAUAAUAUACCAUAUUCAUGAAUAACAAGUUUACAUAGUAUGUAAAAACAAGGAAGAUAAAAUGGUAACUUACUUAAAUGCCGAAUGCUGGCCACGUUGCUUAGCCACUCGCUCCAACACUAAAACAUCCUUGCCGUGUUCUUGAAGUCUCAACGUGUUGGCCUCCACAUCGCGUAGAAUACGAUUGAAAUGCUCCUUAUCAACUCGUAAAAGAUGACAAUUAUUCUCCUUUAAGACGAUUGUUGCAGCUCUAAGAGGAUUUAAACAGGCUUAGCUCACAUCAAAAAUGUUCAGAUCAACAUAUAUACACAUAUGCAUACAAGUAUACAUAAUAUUUAUUAUUUUAUUCAUGUUUUGUCGCCCAAGCAGGCUAAGGAGAUAAUAGAGGGUUGGCGAGGAGAUUUCUUACUUUUCGAACGAUAAUGAAAUAAUCCAUGUCAAUGAGAUGAAACAUGGAAUGAUUUUUUUCUUAAUUCCAUCUUAAUUAAUAGAACAGCUGUAACUCUAUACCUACAUUGCGAUUAGUUUUAGGUGAUAUAAACAACCGUUAGAUGAAUAAAACUAUUAUACUCUGUAGCAACAGGUUACGACAGUAUAAUAAAUAAA
Molecule: non-coding RNA, 3091 nt
Organism: Bactrocera oleae (olive fruit fly)
Lineage: Eukaryota; Metazoa; Arthropoda; Insecta; Diptera; Tephritidae
Source: RefSeq, a predicted model, not a curated record